RNAcentral lists this ribosomal RNA (383 nucleotides) under uncultured eukaryote. RNAcentral's name for it is "partial 18S ribosomal RNA". It matches the Rfam family "Eukaryotic small subunit ribosomal RNA", at positions 592 to 976 of the family's 1831-position model. The record is from RNAcentral.
CAAUAGCGUAUAUUAAAGUUGUUGCAGUUAAAAAGCUCGUAGUCGGAUUUCUGGUGGGAGCGAUCGGUCUGGCGCUUAGCGCGAGUACUUGCAUCGUCUCCGGCCAUCCUUGGGGAGAGUCUGUCUGGCAUUAGGUUGUCGGGCAGAGGAUCCUCAUCGUUUACUGUGAAAAAAUUAGAGUGUUCAAAGCAGGCUUAUGCCGUUGAAUAUAUUAGCAUGGAAUAAUAAGAUAGGACUUUGGUACUAUUUUGUUGGUUUGCGCACCAAAGUAAUGAUUAAUAGGGACAGUUGGGGGUAUUCGUAUUCCGUUGUCAGAGGUGAAAUUCUUGGAUUUACGGAAGACGAACUACUGCGAAAGCAUCUACCAAGGAUGUUUUCAUUAA